RNAcentral lists this ribosomal RNA (253 nucleotides) under uncultured bacterium. RNAcentral's name for it is "partial 16S ribosomal RNA". It matches the Rfam family "Bacterial small subunit ribosomal RNA", at positions 524 to 776 of the family's 1533-position model. The record is from RNAcentral.
UACAGAGGGUGCGAGCGUUAAUCGGAAUUAUUGGGCGUAAAGGGCGCGUAGGUUGAUGAUUAAGUGAUAUGUGAAAGACCCGGGCUUAACCUGGGGUGGUCAUGUCAUACUGGUUGUCUAGAGUUCAGUAGAGGAAAGUGGAAUUCCCGGUGUAGCGGUGAAAUGCGUAGAUAUCGGGAGGAACAUCAGUGGCGAAGGCGACUUUCUGGGCUGAUACUGACACUGAGGUGCGAAAGCGUGGGGAGCAAACAGG